This 91-nucleotide transfer RNA is filed under the name Caudoviricetes sp. RNAcentral's name for it is "tRNA-OTHER". The record is from RNAcentral. Lineage: Duplodnaviria; Heunggongvirae; Uroviricota; Caudoviricetes.
CUCUGCUUAGCUUAGUUGGUCUAAAGCCAAGAAGCCAUUUGUUUAAUAGCAAAUGUAACUGGGAUCGUCAGUUCGAAUCUGGCAGGAGAGC